AUUGAACGCUGGCGGCGUGCCUAACACAUGCAAGUCGAGCGGUAACAGGUGUAGCAAUACAUGCUGACGAGCGGCGGACGGGUGAGUAACGCUUGGGAAUCUGCCUAUUAGUGGGGGACAACCCGGGGAAACUCGGGCUAAUACCGCAUACGCUCUACGGAGGAAAGCCGGGGACCGCAAGGCCUGGCGCUAAUAGAUGAGCCCAAGUCGGAUUAGCUAGUUGGUAGGGUAAUGGCCUACCAAGGCGACGAUCCGUAACUGGUCUGAGAGGACGACCAGUCACACCGGAACUGAGACACGGUCCGGACUCCUACGGGAGGCAGCAGUGGGGAAUAUUGGACAAUGGGCGAAAGCCUGAUCCAGCGACGCCGCGUGGGUGAAGAAGGCCUGCGGGUUGUAAAGCCCUUUCAGUGGGGGAAGAAAAGCCCUCGACCUAACACGUCGGGGUCUUGACGUAACCCAUAGAANAAGCACCAGCU
Molecule: ribosomal RNA, 479 nt
Filed under: uncultured bacterium
Lineage: Bacteria
Description: bacterial SSU rRNA
Rfam family: Bacterial small subunit ribosomal RNA
Source: RNAcentral